Molecule: ribosomal RNA, 1546 nt
Filed under: Salmonella enterica subsp. enterica serovar Mbandaka
Lineage: Bacteria; Pseudomonadati; Pseudomonadota; Gammaproteobacteria; Enterobacterales; Enterobacteriaceae
Description: partial 23S ribosomal RNA
Rfam family: Bacterial large subunit ribosomal RNA
Source: RNAcentral
AGACCCGAAACCCGGUGAUCUAGCCAUGGGCAGGUUGAAGGUUGGGUAACACUAACUGGAGGACCGAACCGACUAAUGUUGAAAAAUUAGCGGAUGACCUGUGGCUGGGGGUGAAAGGCCAAUCAAACCGGGAGAUAGCUGGUUCUCCCCGAAAGCUAUUUAGGUAGCGCCUCGUGAAUUCAUCUCCGGGGGUAGAGCACUGUUUCGGCUAGGGGGCCAUCCCGGCUUACCAACCCGAUGCAAACUGCGAAUACCGGAGAAUGUUAUCACGGGAGACACACGGCGGGUGCUAACGUCCGUCGUGAAGAGGGAAACAACCCAGACCGCCAGCUAAGGUCCCAAAGUCAUGGUUAAGUGGGAAACGAUGUGGGAAGGCCCAGACAGCCAGGAUGUUGGCUUAGAAGCAGCCAUCAUUUAAAGAAAGCGUAAUAGCUCACUGGUCGAGUCGGCCUGCGCGGAAGAUGUAACGGGGCUAAACCAUGCACCGAAGCUGCGGCAGCGACACUGUGUGUUGUUGGGUAGGGGAGCGUUCUGUAAGCCUGUGAAGGUGGCCUGUGAGGGUUGCUGGAGGUAUCAGAAGUGCGAAUGCUGACAUAAGUAACGAUAAAGCGGGUGAAAAGCCCGCUCGCCGGAAGACCAAGGGUUCCUGUCCAACGUUAAUCGGGGCAGGGUGAGUCGACCCCUAAGGCGAGGCCGAAAGGCGUAGUCGAUGGGAAACGGGUUAAUAUUCCCGUACUUGGUGUUACUGCGAAGGGGGGACGGAGAAGGCUAUGUUGGCCGGGCGACGGUUGUCCCGGUUUAAGCGUGUAGGUGUGUGUUCCAGGUAAAUCCGGUUCACUUUAACACUGAGGCGUGACGACGAGGCACUACGGUGCUGAAGCAACAAAUGCCCUGCUUCCAGGAAAAGCCUCUAAGCAUCAGGUAACAUCAAAUCGUACCCCAAACCGACACAGGUGGUCAGGUAGAGAAUACCAAGGCGCUUGAGAGAACUCGGGUGAAGGAACUAGGCAAAAUGGUGCCGUAACUUCGGGAGAAGGCACGCUGACACGUAGGUGAAGUGAUUUACUCAUGGAGCUGAAGUCAGUCGAAGAUACCAGCUGGCUGCAACUGUUUAUUAAAAACACAGCACUGUGCAAACACGAAAGUGGACGUAUACGGUGUGACGCCUGCCCGGUGCCGGAAGGUUAAUUGAUGGGGUCAGCGCAAGCGAAGCUCCUGAUCGAAGCCCCGGUAAACGGCGGCCGUAACUAUAACGGUCCUAAGGUAGCGAAAUUCCUUGUCGGGUAAGUUCCGACCUGCACGAAUGGCGUAAUGAUGGCCAGGCUGUCUCCACCCGAGACUCAGUGAAAUUGAACUCGCUGUGAAGAUGCAGUGUACCCGCGGCAAGACGGAAAGACCCCGUGAACCUUUACUAUAGCUUGACACUGAACAUUGAGCCUUGAUGUGUAGGAUAGGUGGGAGGCUUUGAAGUGUGGACGCCAGUCUGCAUGGAGCCGACCUUGAAAUACCACCCUUUAAUGUUUGAUGUUCUAACGUGGACCCGUAA